CAGUAGCCGCGGGAAUACGGAGGGAGCUAGCGUUGUUCGGAAUUACUGGGCGUAAAGCGCACGUAGGCGGCUUUGUAAGUCAGAGGUGAAAGCCUGGAGCUCAACUCCAGAACUGCCUUUGAGACUGCAUCGCUUGAAUCCAGGAGAGGUGAGUGGAAUUCCGAGUGUAGAGGUGAAGUUCGUAGAUAUUCGGAAGAACACCAGUGGCGAAGGCGGCUCACUGGACUGGUAUUGACGCUGAGGUGCGAAAGCGUGGGGAGCAAACAGGAUUAGAUACCCGCGUAGUUCCUGUCUCUUAUAC
This 301-nucleotide ribosomal RNA is filed under the name uncultured bacterium. RNAcentral's name for it is "partial 16S ribosomal RNA". It matches the Rfam family "Bacterial small subunit ribosomal RNA", at positions 509 to 807 of the family's 1533-position model. The record is from RNAcentral.